GGUACUUAUUCCCUAAAAUCAAUACAUCUUGGUGGUCUGUUACCUACUCACCAUUUUUGAAUUAUCACUACAUCCGUCAUCUCAAAGCUGCAAUCCUCGUCUCAAUAUCUUAUUGAACUGUGAUCGAAAUACGAAGCUGUCCUGGGUUGGAUCAAUAUGGGUCAUGUCAGAUGUAUUUAUUCUGGUGAAUUGUACUGUUGUCUUUAUGGAUAAUAUUCUGGCCUUAGUUUAGGCCAUCUUGCCUCUGAUGAGUAGUGCAUGAGUUAAUCCAGAGAAGACUCCAUUUUUUGUCCAUUAUAGGUGCUGUGCAAAUCAUAUCCAUCUGAGUUCAUAUCAUACUUCCACUACUGCCGAUCAUUAAGAUUUGAGGAUAAACCUGACUAUUCAUAUUUGAAGAGGCUUUUUAGAGACUUGUUUAUUCGUGAAGGUAGCUUCUCUUGUUUUUUCUUUCUUUCUUUUAGCUAAAGUGAUACUGUUUUGGUCCAAAAUUUAUCCCAGUUGUUAACCUUCUCUUGUUUUUUCUUUCUUUCUUUUAUCUAAAGUGAUACUGUUUGGGUCCAAAAUUUAUCCCAGUUGUUAACUACCCCAACUUUCGUCUUUGACAGAUAUGAUGCGGGCUUUGUAUCUUUAACUUUCAUAACGAUCCAAAAAAAAAAAAAAAAUCUUUUGUUGGUGCAGGUU
RNAcentral lists this long non-coding RNA (681 nucleotides) under Nicotiana benthamiana. RNAcentral's name for it is "long non-coding RNA (NBEN_LNC025901)". The record is from RNAcentral. Lineage: Eukaryota; Viridiplantae; Streptophyta; Magnoliopsida; Solanales; Solanaceae.